RNAcentral lists this long non-coding RNA (860 nucleotides) under Ananas comosus (pineapple). RNAcentral's name for it is "long non-coding RNA (ACOM_LNC026940)". The record is from RNAcentral. Lineage: Eukaryota; Viridiplantae; Streptophyta; Magnoliopsida; Poales; Bromeliaceae.
UAUAGGUGUUGUAAUAAUUACAAAAACACCCCUGCCUGAAAACUGCUCGCACUGCACUGUGUACCGGUACACGGGCUCGCGUACCGGUACAACACCUGCGAAACAGCCAAACUCGAGCCUCGGGUUUGCACAAAAUUCGUCUGCGUACCGAUACAGCCAUCAGCGCGUACCGGUACAGCCAUCAGCCCCGUACCGGUACACAGCCCUGCUAAUGCUACCCGAGAGCUGACAAAAAAUCUGACUUUUCAGAUUUUGGUGCUAGGUUUUAAACCUCCAAUCUCGGAGUUCGAACCAUGGGUCGGAACACUGUCAACGACCCUCCACGAAGUGUGGAAAGGCUCAGAACACGAAACAAACACUCGAACCUUACAAUUUGCAAAGGUCCAGUGCGUCACACUUAAAUUGCAAUUUAAAUUCAUAAAUUUAAUCUAAAUUUUGAAUAAAAUUUGAAUAAAAAUUUAAAUUUUAAAUUAAAAUUAAAAUUUAAAUUAGAUUCAAAAUGCUUGAUUGAAUUUUAAUUUUUAAUUUAAGUUCAAUUAAAAUUUAAAUUUAUAAAUAUAAUUUUUAAAUUUAAUCUUAUGUUUUAAUUAAAAGAAUAAGCUUUGAAAAGUUAAAUUUAAUCUGAACAAAUCUAUUCCGUUCGGAUUUAAUUUUCAAUCCGACCUCCUAAGUCGGAUUGAAGAAAGCAGUAAUUGGGAGGAUUCCUAUUCACCCGGAAAUCGGAAUCGGAAUGGAAAUCCCGCAUACCAAACACGGACAAACGGAUUCGUCCAUUCCGAUUCCGAUUCUGGAGUGAAAAAUAGGCGAACCAAACAUGCCCUGAAUGUAUUAGUUAUUUUACACAAUUUUGUAUUGGAUAU